UCAUUGGGAGUGGUAGUCGACCUUACGAGGGCUAUUGAGUGUCGAUAGACGAUCAUCCACUCUCAGCAUCAUGAGAGGAAUAUCCCAUGUGUUCUUGCUCAGACAAAUCCCUGGCCAGGGUCAUUCGGGUUGAGAGAGAAAGAGUUCUCCGGGAGAAUCCGAUUAGAGCGAGACUCGAGUAGAAACCGUAUGGGUCUGACAGCACCAUGCUCGAUAUACGAUCUCUGGGAUAUUAGAUGGAUGAGGAACUAUAGGUACACGGUAACUGAGGAC
This 273-nucleotide long non-coding RNA is filed under the name Musa acuminata (dwarf banana). RNAcentral's name for it is "long non-coding RNA (MACU_LNC011543)". The record is from RNAcentral. Lineage: Eukaryota; Viridiplantae; Streptophyta; Magnoliopsida; Zingiberales; Musaceae.